This 73-nucleotide ribosomal RNA is filed under the name Polytomella parva. Its description in RNAcentral is "large subunit ribosomal RNA fragment number 4". Lineage: Eukaryota; Viridiplantae; Chlorophyta; Chlorophyceae; Chlamydomonadales; Chlamydomonadaceae. The record is from RNAcentral. RNAcentral also lists the same sequence under 4 other names.
AAGUAAGACACAUAGCGAAAAGGUUGUGUGUCAAAAGGAAAAGAGUCCAACGGAUAGGUUAAGGUUCAAAAGG